This 195-nucleotide ribosomal RNA is filed under the name Salmonella enterica. RNAcentral's name for it is "partial 23S ribosomal RNA". The record is from RNAcentral. Lineage: Bacteria; Pseudomonadati; Pseudomonadota; Gammaproteobacteria; Enterobacterales; Enterobacteriaceae.
CACUGCCCGGUAGCUAAAUGCGGAAGAGAUAAGUGCUGAAAGCAUCUAAGCACGAAACUUGCCCCGAGAUGAGUUCUCCCUGAGACUUWRAGUCUCCUGAAGGAACGUUGAAGACGACGACGUUGAUAGGCCGGGUGUGUAAGCGCAGCGAUGCGUUGAGCUAACCGGUACUAAUGAACCGUGAGGCUUAACCUU